Molecule: ribosomal RNA, 391 nt
Filed under: Pseudocalanus sp.
Lineage: Eukaryota; Metazoa; Arthropoda; Copepoda; Calanoida; Clausocalanidae
Description: partial small subunit ribosomal RNA
Rfam family: Eukaryotic small subunit ribosomal RNA
Source: RNAcentral
AUUCCAGCUCCAAUAGCGUAUAUUAAAGUUGUUGUGGUUAAAAAGCUCGUAGUUGGAUCUCGGCGGUCUGAGGGCGGUUCGCUUCAGAGCGCUACUGCCCUAUAGACCGUAGUUUUGCCAGAGGUCUCAGGGUGCUCUUAACCGAGUGUCUUGCGAUGCUGGCAGGUUUACUUUGAAAAAAUUAGAGUGCUCAAAGCAGGCUUUUACGCCUGAAUAUUCGUGCAUGGAAUAAUAGAAUAGGAAGUCGUUUCUAUUUUGUUGGUUUUCGGAAAUCGACUUAAUGAUUAAUAGGGACAGUCGGGGGCAUUUGUAUUCAAACGACAGGGGUGAAAUUCUUGGAUUAACGGAAGAUGAACUUCUGCGAAAGCAUCUGCCAAGGAUGUUUUCAUUA